AAAAGAGCGGGCUUAGGUGGACGGAUGCCAAGGGCAGUCGCCAGCUCUCCAGGCAGGACCCAGUGAAGGAUGUCCUUCUGCAGCACAAACAGGGUGAAGAAGACAAGCUGCAGCAGGCCCAAGAACAGCAGAAACGCCCUGCGGAACAGAAGAAGGUUGAGUCAGAUCUGGGGGCACGUUUGUCACAGCACUUUCCAUCCAGCCCCGGCAAAUGGCCGUGGACAUGUGCCAUACAGGGAGCAAGGGAAUCUGUCGUAGGUCUGCGCAGGGCUGCCAAGAUCGCCACCCCACCUGCUCUCCCACCCAGGACCCUAAGCAAUACUGAAGCAUUUUAUCUCCAAAAAGUCAAAAGCUGCCUGAUGGUCUCUGGACCCC
This 375-nucleotide long non-coding RNA is filed under the name Gallus gallus (chicken). The record is from RNAcentral. Lineage: Eukaryota; Metazoa; Chordata; Aves; Galliformes; Phasianidae.